Molecule: long non-coding RNA, 2634 nt
Filed under: Coffea arabica (coffee)
Lineage: Eukaryota; Viridiplantae; Streptophyta; Magnoliopsida; Gentianales; Rubiaceae
Description: long non-coding RNA (CARA_LNC004729)
Source: RNAcentral
AAGGUUUAAAUUAAAAAAAUCUUAAAGGUAGUUAUGAGAAUUAGAACAAGUCGCGUAGGUGCAACUAAAGACAAAGGACUUGAUAAAUAGACAAAUAAAAAGAGAUGGCCAAAAAGGUUCUUUCUGGAAAGAUUACUGUAACUUUUUACAAUUAGCAGUAAUUUCAAAUUGGAAUGGUGAACUCCCUGCUACAUCUGCCUACUCUGCCUAUAAGCUGACUUUGACAUGAAUACUGAGCAAUCGUUUUGUUUAGAUUGUUGUUAUUAUUAUUAUGGAAUGGUUAUGCCUCUUUUGGGUUUCUUUCAUUGACUUGGUCCAUAGCUUAUUUGAGAGACCAUAAUUUAUGUUAAAUGGAAUUACACAUAUGUGUAUGAUAUAGUGCUUGUUAAGUUAUUAUCCGUAAAUAAAUAUCUUGCCUUGAUUGACUCAAUCUGAGAGAGCAACAGAUAUGACCAAAAACAACAUGCCAAAAAGAUCUUUCAUGCCUAACUUGGUCCUUGAAUAUAUAAGGUACCCUAUUUUACGGAAGUUACAAGGACAAAUGCCAGUUUUUAAGCAAUUAUACGGUGAGUGCAUGAUUGCAAGUUCCCUAGCCAAAUCUGUAAAGCCUUCAUUUAAAGAGAAUUAGCUCCCUUCAGCAAUCAUAAAAGGACAUUUGGCCACCCAUAGGGACAACAGCAACUGAAAUUUCACAAGCAAAAACAUUACAGCAAUAGGGAAGGCAAACCCAAACAACCAGCUAGUAUACAGCAAAAGAAGAAUUGGUCAGAAUGAUAGUCAGCUCAAUAUAAAAUGCUUGAAACGUAAUUGCCUCAAGUAACAACCAGUCACCUCUGAAAAGGAGCAUGCCCGAACUAUGUGUUUGUGCUCAAAUGAAUGCAAUUCAUCCCCACUUAAUGCAUCCCAUAGUUUCCUGUAAAAAACAGUGAGCAUUUAUAAACAGAAAAUGUACGCUGCCAACCCUACAGCUCUCGACCACAAUUCUAGAAUAUAAGGCAUCACAUAAGCAUGUUGGAUGCUGAUGAUUUUGUUCUGCUGUCAAAAAGGCUUUCAUACAAAUAAUUAUUCAAUUGAAACUAUUUGAGUCAGGAAAACGAUUUAAUCUAAUUUCAGGAAAAAAAAAAAGCAAUCAUUACCUAAUGAGAACACAUUAGAUAAGAUACUUGCGUCCCGGAAAUCAAAGAGAAACAGAAACAUCUACUUACGCACUAAAAUCAGCAGAUGCAGAUGCAGCAUGUAGAGCAGGUUUAUCCAAACAACAACUCCAAACUGCACCUUUAUGCCCUUGAAAGGUUCCAAUCCAAUCACCAAUCUCUCCAUUUCUCAACAUUGGAUUGGAAUCUGACAUGAAAAUAAACUAGUAAUUAACCACAGUCUAUUCUCUUAUACCCAAUAACCUUUUAACUAAAUACAAUAACAACCAUCUCUUGACAAUAUUGCUUUAUACUUUCAGAUAACAGGUUUUAUAACAAAACCUCGCCAUCCCUACUUCUGCAUUAUUUUUUUAUUUUUUUUGAAAAGGAGUUCUAUACUGUACCAUCAAAAUCAAAAUCAACAUUCAUUUUCAUGGAAACCUAACAGUAGUUUUUGGUCAAGUGUCGAGUAUUCAAAUGUCAAAUGACCAGGAUAAAUGUUUCUUGGUAUACCACUAGGAACAUGAUAAAAAAGAUACAAAGAUAAAUGUUCAUAAGUAAAUCUUGGAAGCCCUUGGUAAGUGUCUUGGCAAGUCACUUAAUCAUACCUAACCUAAAAAAUAUCAUUUCAUUUUACUGGUCACAAACCCAUAGCAAGUUGAGAGGCCAAAAUGCCACACCUCAUUAUCGUAGCUCAGUGAAUCACACUUGCUUACGAUAUAUAUACUGCCCAAAAUGUAAUAGAAAGAGACCUCCCCAACAAGUGAAAAAAAGUAAUCAGACAUCAAGAAAAUUGAUUGCGAGUAAGUAUUUGGGGUCUGGAGAUUACAAAAAGGAGCUUACACAGUCAUUCAAACGUUACUUACACUCAUGAUAGCAACAGACUGGCUGUAUAUUUCAUGGCUAGAAACAGUAGCUAGUUUCAAGUACGAAUUGGUACAAAUGACCGUUAUAUCAUGGACCAAAAGGUUUAAAUUAAAAAAAUCUUAAAGGUAGUUAUGAGAAUUAGAACAAGUCGUGUAGGUGCAACGGAAGACAAAGGACUUCAUAAAAAGACAAAUAAAAAGAGAUGGCCAAAAAGGUUCUUUCUGGAAAGAUUACUGUAACUUUUUACAAUUAGCUGCAAUUUCAAAUUGGAAUGGUGAACUCCCUGCUACAUCUGCCUAUAAGCUGACUUUGACAUGAAUACUGAGCAAGUGAAAGACAAACUGAACCUGGUUAUGAAAAUAACAGGACCUAACGAUAAAGAGAUCAUAGCGAUGGCAAUUACUGCUAAAGCCCAACCUAAAUCCCAACUCUACAAAAUAAAGAAAACCAAAGAAUUCAAUUCGCCAAGGAUUCGAGCAAGGAUAUUGAGACUGAAGUACAUAUCCUUUCAGAAUGCCCAAAAGCCUAAUGGUCGGUCAAAUUUGUUAGCUCAGGAAGCUGCAAAUGAACAAGAUAUGCUCAAUUUACAAGAAUGGGUAAGUGUGAAUAUGAAGGAAAAGCAAGAGAUUAGGUC